AGCCCAGAUCAUCAGCUAAGGUCCCAAAAUUUAGGUUAAGUGGUUAAGGAAGUAAGAUUACUAAAACAGCUAGGAGGUUGGCUUAGAAGCAGCCAUCCUUUAAAGAGUGCGUAACAGCUCGCUGGUCGAGUGUUCUUGCGCCGAAAAUACACGGAGCUUAAGCUUGUUACCGAAGCUGCGGAUUGUCUAUCUUCGGAUAGAUAGUGGUAGAGGAGCGUUCCAUGGUAGGUUGAAGCUGGAUCGUGAGGUCUGGUGGACGAAAUGGAAGUGAGAAUGUCGGCAUAAGUAACGAAAAGGUAGGUUGAAAUCCUACCCGCCGAAAGUCUAAGGUUUCCUGGGGAAGGUUCGUCCGCCCAGGGUAAGUCGAUAUCUAAGUUGAGGCCAGAGUAACUGGCGUAAGCGAUGGCUAACCGGUUAAUAUUCCGGUACCGCCUGCAUUGUUAACCAGAGGGACGCAGAAGGAUAGCUCAUAACACUUAUUGGAUUGUGGCACCUAUUUAUUUAGGGACGUGAGUGAGUCCACGCUGCCAAGAAAAGCUCUGGGGAUUGGUGUGGGUGAUCGUACUAUAAACCGACACAGGUGGACAGGCUGAACAAGCCAAGGCGCGCGAGAUAACUCUCUCUAAGGAACUCGGCAAAUUAGUUCCGUAACUUCGGGAGAAGGAACGCCUCAUUUAUUUGAGGUCACAGAUACCAGCUCCAUGCAACUGUUUAACAAAAACACAGCUCUCUGCUAACCCGUAAGGGGAUGUAUAGGGGGCGAUGCCUGCCCAGUGCUGGAACGUUAAGGGGUGGCUUGAGAUUAUAUCAGGGGCCUAACCGAAGCGCCAGUGAACGGCGGCCGUAACUAUAACGGUCCUAAGGUAGCGAAAUUCCUUGUCGGGUAUGUUCCGACCCGCACGAAAGGCAGAAUGACAUGGAGACUGUCUCGGAGAGGGGCUCGGUGAAAUUGGGAUGUCCGUGAAGACACGGAUUACCUGCAUCAGGACAGAAAGACCCCGUGGAGCUUUACUGUAACUUAGCUUUGGAUUUCGAUGAAGUUUGCGCAGUAUAGGUGGGAGGUGUUGAUGCCUUGACUUCGGUUGGGGCGGAGCCAUCAGUGAGAUACCACCCUUGUUUCGUUGAAGUUCUAACCCGGAAAGUGUAUUUUCGGAAACAGAGCUAGGCAGGCAGUUUGACUGGGGCGGUUUUCUCCUAAAUUGUAACGGAGAAGUUCAAAGGUUCCCUCAGGACGGUUAGAAAUCGUCCGUGGAGUGUAAAGGCAUAAGGGAGCUUGACUGCGAGACGUACAUGUCGAGCAGGGACGAAAGUCGGACUUAGUGAUCCGGUGGUACAGUAUGGAACGGCCAUCGCUCAGCGGACAAAAGUUACCCCGGGGAUAACAGGCUUAUCUCCUCCAAGAGUUCACAUCGACGAGGAGGUUUGGCACCUCGAUGUCGGCUCGUCACAUCCUGGAGCUGGAGCAGGUUCCAAGGGUUGGGCUGUUCGCCCAUUAAAGUGGUACGUGAGCUGGGUUCAGAACGUCGUGAGACAGUAAAAAAAGUGGACUUUGCUGUCUAUAAAUUUGACUAAAUGCUGGAAAGUCUGGUUAGAUUUCGUGCUACCAAUGAGGUAAAAUAUCUCAGAGGUAAAAAUGCAUGAAUGCAGACAAUCAGCAGGAAAGACUAACAAUAGGUUUUUACAUCGCAGGUUUUACAGAUGGAGAAGGGAGUUUUCACGUCGCCUUUGAAAAAAGGCCAAGCGUGACACUCGGUUGGCAAAUCAUUCCAGAGUUUCAUAUCAGCCAACACAAAAAUGAUUUAAAACUACUCCACUUUAUUCAAAAAUAUCUAGGUUGUGGGACAAUUCGUCCAAACCAUAGAGGAAACCAAGGUGAUGAAAAUCAGGUUUUGGUAGUAAGAAACCGAAAAGAUUUGACAAAUCUUAUCAUUCCAUUCUUUAUGAAGUUUAAGCUUCGCUCAUCUAAAGCCAAAGACUUCGAAAAGUUUAAAACAAUCUUGGCAUUACUAAAUAAAGAUUGUCAUAAAACAAAAACUGGCUUUAACAAAAUUGUAGAGCUAGCUUAUGCUAUGAAUAAAAAUGGAAAGUAUCGGAAAAGAAAUAAACAUAUAUUGUUAGAAUCCUCAGAGACUAUACGUCAAACAACUAAAACCAAAUAGUUGAAGAUAUAGUCCGAACUGCAUGGCGACAUGCAGAAUCAGUUAGAAAUAAUUGAUCCUUUGUAAUAAACAAAGAGUAACAUAAUUGUCGGUCCAUAUCCGGUGCAGGCGCAGGAUUUUUGAGGAAGGCUCUUCCUAGUACGAGAGGACCGGAAGGGACGAACCUCUAGUGUACCAGUUGUGUCGCCAGAUGCAAACGCUGGGUAGCUAUGUUCGGUCGGGAUAAACGCUGAAGGCAUCUAAGCGUCAAGCCCAUUCCAAGAUUAGAAAUCCCACCCCCUCGGGGGGGGUAAGAUCACUUGUAGACUACAAGUUUGAUAGGCUGGAGGUGUAAGCACAGUAAUGUGUUCAGCUGACCAGUACUAAUCGAUCGAGGACUUGAUCCU
This 2545-nucleotide ribosomal RNA is filed under the name Candidatus Margulisiibacteriota bacterium. RNAcentral describes it as "partial 23S ribosomal RNA". It matches the Rfam family "Bacterial large subunit ribosomal RNA", at positions 1024 to 2925 of the family's 2925-position model. Lineage: Bacteria; Bacillati; Candidatus Margulisiibacteriota. The record is from RNAcentral.